UUUUUGGUUUAUAUGCAUUAACUUUUAACUCUUGUUUUGGGUCUGGAAAAAAACUCCAAACCAGCAACAAAGAAUAAAACUGACUGUGAUUCAAUUAGUGGCUUGUUUGCCCGGGAUUCUGCAGAGCUGAAUGCAAAAGAAAAACAAUCCUAACAGCAUGUUGGAUGCAAUGAAUUUAACUUAAAAUUACAGAUCUUACUGCUGAGAAUAGAGUUGAAAAGAAAUAUGUGCUGCUUUAAAGCCUAUUAAACCAGUGAGAAGUUAGAAUCUAUCUAUCCAUCUGUCAAUCUUCAGUAACUUAUUCAGGUGGCACAAAAUAGUUUACUUUGUAAGCUAUUUAUUAUGGAUCUCUUCCUGUUAGGUUUUAGAAUAUGAAGGUUGCAAGUAGUGUGUAAGAGUAGCCAAAUGACUGGAUUCUUCUUUUUGAAACUCCCUUUCCUGAGAACAAUGAAUAAGGCCAUUAAAAAACACCACUAAUCAUUAGAAAUUGGGAUUGCUUAGCUUGUGAAAAGCUUGAACUCUGUUUCUAAUACUUCUACAUAACGUAUAUUAAGUUACUAUAAUAAGCACAGAUGACACUUACAAAACCUGGUUUAUAUAAGAACAUCUUAUAGCUCACUGUACAUUUUACACUCUUGUCAAAGCUUCUGAUUUUUUCCCAUUGGGGAAGCUGUUCGCCUAGUGGACAGGUGCGAAAGAAAGCACCUGGGCUCUUCUCGAUUGUGCCUCUGACUGAGAGGUCUCACCUUCUCUGUGACUUUUUAACUUGGGGAUGGAAAUUCUCCCUCCUUGCAAGAUGGUGUAUGUGCAUACACUUAUGGGAUUAAAAUAAUAUGUAUGAAACAUGUAAUUUGGAACAGUCAGCAGAUCUGUCUCAAUUUGAAGUAGCUGUAACAGGGCCUAUAGUACAAAUAGACUAGAACACUAAUAAGUUACCAUGAGUACAACAAUUGCCCAAGAGUUCUUCUAAGUCAGAGUUGAAAUAUCUGGAUUAAUGUUAGCAAAAUGUAUCCCACUUGCUUCCCUAGCAUAGUCCCUGAGGAGUAAGGGGUGACGAGUGUGCCCUAGCUUUGUUCCUGAGGAGCAAAGGGUGAUGAAUGUGCUGGCAGUCCAUGAAGAGGUUUCUGUGAUGGAUCUGAGGAACUGCAAGUCUGUUUACCAACUGUCAGGCCUAUUGAGCAAAACAGCAGCAACUACACUAUAAGGCAGAGUUAGUGUCUCUCUGGGAAGAGUCACCAUUGGUUAUGUGAAGGGAGGUUCUGCUUCUCAAACUUCUUGUAGUUCUUCAAAGAGAUCAGCAAACAUGUAGAUGAGUGAUUUAGUCUACCAAGCAAAAAUAUUUGGGGAAUCUAAGUCUAUGAAGUCUAUUUAAGAAAGCCUAUUAGCCACAGAAUUAGGGGCCAGGCAUUGGUAUGCAGAAGUUACUGACAGAAAGAUGGGUAAACAGAAGUUCUGAUAUGAACUGUGUGUAGAGACUUGGUCCUGAACUGAAGGCUUGCAGCUUAACCUGGUGCUAGUCAUGCUACCACUCUUCUUUAGAGCCAUCAUUACACACCUGCAGUUUCCUAUGGACUAUACAUUCCAGCUAGCUCUCCACACUAUCUUUUUGCUCUAGUACAUUUUUUGGAAAAGGAAAACCAUAGCUGCCUCUCAGCUUCUGCUUCUGAUGUGCUUAGCAGUAGAGAUGAGAGAGAUUCUAGUCUGGAGGUCUAGCAGACAUGGAUUGGCCUUUGGAACUGAGGUAUUACUAUAGGGACUCCUUGGUUUGUGGCAAGUGUGUACAGCUGGCACACACAAUUUCUCUGAUAAAUCUCCCUGGCAGCAUUUCAGGCCAGAACAGCCAGACAGAGAAAGCCUUGGAAUUAUGGAGGUCUACAGAGCAGCUUUGCCUCAAGAUGCUUGCACUUUUCCUGUUUGGACCUGUGUUUAUUCAGUAAGCAUGGAUUUUGAAAUGCAGCAAGAUGAACUGUCAGAGGUAAAAGAAGUGUGUGUGAGAAUAAUGACUACAGUGUUAAGCAGCUCUAUGGGACUGUGGAAAAUAAUGGCAGUCUGUUCAGGAAGAUUGUGUAGGAGAUACACGAUCUUGAAUGCUGAGAGUCUUAAACUGAGGAGUUAUGCUAUCCCAGGAUUUACUUGAUGGUGGUAGAUCUUGCAUGCAGAGGGGUUUCUCUCAGUGACAGGAGUAAGCUAUGGUUAGGGCAAGGUUUGUGGGGAGGAAGUGGGAAAGACUGCUGCAAGAGAAAUUUCAGGACACAACUGAAAAUACAAUCUAGAAACUCAAAAAGUAAACUGGGAACAGUGUUGUCUGCAUUCCAUAUGUACUGUCAGAUAAUACCCUUUGGAAUAUAGCUACAGUUUUAAAUGCUCUUUUAGCUUUGCAGUUUUGGCUUGAGCAGCUAUUUUUUUACAGACUAUUUUGAUGGUAAAGAAUCUUUAUAAUAUUCCUUUUAAGCUUUUGCUGCAAAUUCAUUGCUGUGUAUCCUGUAACAGCCCUGUGAAGGUGUUGUUAAAACUAGAGCUUUUUUGUUGUGUUCAGCUCUGCACUUUACUUACCUCUAGUUCCUGCUGUAGGCAAAGGGAAGAGUGCCUGCAAACUGAACUUCCUCUCAACGUUCAUAGCUUGGUGCUAGCUUCUCUGAGCAUAAGGCUGUACUAGAGCUCUUCUGAAAUCCCUUCCAGCUAAUGUUGUUUUGACUCCAUGGUACUUGAAAUAUCCCAUUCUGGUUUGUGUGGGGGAUGCUUACCUCCACACUGGUAUACGGAGUAGAAUAUCUGAAGGAUAAAGCUGCUCUUUUCAGAGAUGUAUUAAUUGGAGAAUAUCAUUCCCUUAAAGGCUGAUGUUUGUAGUCUGAUUAGGGAGAAGUCAACUGGAGCACAGCAGUUAUUGUAAAGCCAGAGUAGUUCUUUAACCUUCUGUUUAAUGUAGAAGAUUUCUCACUUGACAGACUUGUAGCAAGCAGUAAACAUUUGACACCACUGUCAAGAAACAAAAGAUGGAGACUGGUAGUUCAAUAUGACUGAGAAAAGCAGUCUACCAGAAUAUUCCAAGACUUUCCUGUUUGCAGUUUCUCACUCAGGACAAUAGUUAUUUCCAACCUGUAUCUGUAGGAUGUUAAUGCAUAGUGUUUGCAGUUGAAGUUAAAAUGUAACUGCCGUGUUCCAUGGCUCAGACAAGCUUUUAGUGUGCUUAAAGAGGAUGAGGAACAAAUGAGUCUCAAAUGCAGACAAUCAGGAAGAGAAAAGCUCAGGGCAGAGCUUGUAAUAGUAAAGUGAGACUGAAUGCAUCUUAUGGAAGUUGAUUUGUUGUUCGAGUUUUGAGUUUCUUUCUUCCCACACUGACUUGCUGGCUGUCCUCAUAGACACCAUGGCCCUUUCUGUAGGGGUAAUCUCACAGCACAGUUCACGGGUUAUGGAUGGGAGGCACAGCAAGAAAUCAAGUGUGGAUGUAUUUAGAGAUUCUGGAAGCUAGUAAAUUGUCUGAAGGAAGGAGAGCGUGAUGUGAGGUACACGUCUGCACAACUCUCAGUUGCCAUUGUCUGCCAAAGUAGUUUAAGAUCAUGGGCAGUGUCUCCUUACUCUGGAUGUUGAGAGUUCUUUAAAACCAGGAGGGAAUGUCUCUAUCAAAUAAAAAGUGACACAGUUUGAGGUGAAGUGCUCAGAAGAAUUCUUUCUCAGCGCAAGGGAAGUAUGCUUUCUGAUAUCUCUUGAUUUUGAUGUUCAGAGAAAUCCACUUUUUCUGAAAACAGUUAACUCCAUGAAUAUUAGCAGCUGCUUUCAAUCUGACUAGGGGGUUUUAAAUACCUCAACAACUAUCCCAGUGGUCUUCUCUCAAGUCAUAGUUUGUGUUUGCCUUCAAUAAACUUUUUCUAAAAACAACUAAUGACAAUUGAAAAUCAAGCUAUUAAGAACACUGGGCUGAUUGAAUUUGAUGGAACAAUUUUUUUAAAUAAUCAAACAUUGAUGGUAUACUUUUCUAGCCUCUGUAAAAGAAAUAUGAGAAAUAUUAAACACUUUCAAGUAUUAACUUGCAGUUUUCUUUGCAAACAAUGUUUUACACUAAAAGCCAUCAGUAGCAGUUGAAUAACCAGCUGCCUUGUUAGCAGAUGGCCUUCAGGCUCUGAAGCCUUUCAUAUUCAGCCUACCACUCAUUCUUCACAUCCUACUGAUGCCUUUGUUUUACACUUUUUGCCAACUGAGGAUACAGAUGUAUCUGCCACAGCUCCCUGAGAAUGUGGCAAAGUUAUCUUACAGUUCCUGGAGGCAGCUGUCUUUUGGAUGAGCACUCCUAGAAGGCUUUUAACUCAGAUUAGAAGAAGAAUUUGGUUUUACUGCCUUCCUGGAACAUACAGGCAGCUACAAAGAGGAUGAAGACUUUCCCUUCACGAGGGGCAGUGAGUGCAAGUUGCAUUGGAAGAGUAUUGAAGUCAGAUGCAACAAUGAUUCUUUGGGCUUUUGAUGCGAUUUCUAGUCCUUGAGCAACUAAUUGUCCUGUACCAUUUGUCUGCCAACAUACUUGUGACCAGAGAAAUACAAAAGCAAGCACUUGUCA
Molecule: long non-coding RNA, 4549 nt
Organism: Catharus ustulatus (Swainson's thrush)
Lineage: Eukaryota; Metazoa; Chordata; Aves; Passeriformes; Turdidae
Exons: 2
Source: RefSeq, a predicted model, not a curated record